AGUUUGUGUGUUCCCAUAAGAAAGAAAAACUAAAAAUGAGUAGUGGUUGGAAUUGGAAGGGUUUUAGGGUGGUAAGUUUCCUAUUCUUCCUCAUCAUCAUCUCCUCGGAGGUGGCUACAGCAAGGGACCUGAAUCUCGCCCGCAAAAAUGCAGUGGCCAUACAUGAAGAUGAAGGCAGCCUCAGUUCCUCACACUUUGGCUUUACCAGCCCCAGCACACGAAGCCGCUCGAGGCCCGUUUGCAAUCGUCCGGGCAGUUAUAAGUGCCUUGGUCCAAAUCCAAUUCCACGGCCUGAACCCUGCAACCGAUAUUCGCGGUGGAGCUGCCCCCCACCGCAAAUUAAACCCCCGAACUGAACCGAAUCGAAUUAAAUCGUCCCCUAAAACCUGUCAAGAAUCCAUAUAUAUGAAUUAAAUUUACCUAAUCUUUUGGUUGAGUGGUGGUUUAUUCAUCUCUAAGAUGAUAUCAAAACGGGAGACCUGAGUUCAAACCCUUACCGAACGUGUCAUUACCUUUCUUAUCCCUCCUCUGUAUCUUCUUUUUACUUUCUUCCUAAUGAGCUUAUUUCAGUUUGCGUCGUUUUUUCUCUUUUGUGUCAUUUGGGAAGUUGUUCAGAACUACUGCAUGUAAUAAAAGGAAGAUAUAUAAAGGGUUUUUCGCUAUGUA
Long non-coding RNA from Momordica charantia (bitter melon), 666 nucleotides. RefSeq lists it as uncharacterized. Lineage: Eukaryota; Viridiplantae; Streptophyta; Magnoliopsida; Cucurbitales; Cucurbitaceae. The record is from RefSeq and is a predicted model, not a curated record.